AUUGAACGCUGGCGGCAUGCUUUACACAUGCAAGUCGAGCGGCAGCGCGGCCUUCGGGCUGGCGGCGAGCGGCGGACGGGUGGGUAAUGCAUCGGAACAUGCCCAGUCGUGGGGGAUAACACUUCGAAAGAAGUGCUAAUACCGCAUACGUCCUGAGGGGGAAAGCGGGGGAUCGCAAGACCUCGCCCGAUUGGAUUGGCCGAUGUCAGAUUAGCUAGUUGGUGGGGUAAAGGCCUACCAAGGCGACGAUCCGUAGCUGGUCUGAGAGGAUGAUCAGCCACACUGGGACUGAGACACGGCCCAGACUCCUACGGGAGGCAGCAGUGGGGAAUUUUGGACAAUGGGGGCAAGCCUGAUCCAGCAAUUCCGCGUGAGUGAAGAAGGCCUUCGGGUUGUAAAGCUCUUUCGGCAGGAACGAACCGGUGGGCUCUAACAUAGUCCGCUAAUGACGGUACCUGAAGAAGAAGCACCGGCUAACUACGUG
RNAcentral lists this ribosomal RNA (484 nucleotides) under uncultured bacterium. RNAcentral describes it as "partial 16S ribosomal RNA". It matches the Rfam family "Bacterial small subunit ribosomal RNA", at positions 29 to 507 of the family's 1533-position model. The record is from RNAcentral.